RNAcentral lists this transfer RNA (73 nucleotides) under Bos indicus (zebu cattle). It matches the Rfam family "tRNA". Rfam says of the family: Transfer RNA (tRNA) molecules are approximately 80 nucleotides in length. Their secondary structure includes four short double-helical elements and three loops (D, anti-codon, and T loops). RNAcentral also lists the same sequence under 1 other name. Lineage: Eukaryota; Metazoa; Chordata; Mammalia; Artiodactyla; Bovidae. The record is from Rfam by way of RNAcentral.
UCCUUGGUGGUCUGGUGGUUAAGACUCUGCACUGUCGAUGCAGUGGGUGUGGGUUUGAUCCUUGGUCAGGGAA